This 84-nucleotide transfer RNA is filed under the name Bacteroidota bacterium. RNAcentral's name for it is "tRNA-Leu". It matches the Rfam family "tRNA". From Rfam's summary of the family: Transfer RNA (tRNA) molecules are approximately 80 nucleotides in length. Their secondary structure includes four short double-helical elements and three loops (D, anti-codon, and T loops). Lineage: Bacteria; Pseudomonadati; Bacteroidota. RNAcentral also lists the same sequence under 1 other name. The record is from RNAcentral.
GCCCGGGUGGCGAAAUUGGUAGACGCACUACUUUGAGGUGGUAGCGCCCGAAAGGGUGUGCUGGUUCGAAUCCAGUCUCGGGCA